RNAcentral lists this long non-coding RNA (870 nucleotides) under Carica papaya (papaya). Its description in RNAcentral is "long non-coding RNA (CPAP_LNC014917)". The record is from RNAcentral. Lineage: Eukaryota; Viridiplantae; Streptophyta; Magnoliopsida; Brassicales; Caricaceae.
GGGGUCCUUACUUAUUUCGCGGUCUGAAAUUGACUCUACAGUGCGCCUACGGGCUGUCCCUAAUUUUUUUGAAUUUUUUUCGAAAAACUGAAAAGCACUACUGGUACCUGCACGUGACCCAAAAAAUCCCAAAUCAGACCUAGGGCCCCUUUCGGCCAAUAUCGGAAUUUCGGCACGGUGGCUAUGCCGUGCUUCGGCGACGGCGAUUCGCCUCGGUUUGGCCGUUUUCGAUCGAAUUCGGCCACACUCGCAUCGGUCCCUGUGAUAAAACAACCCUAGGGCCCUCGGUGGGCCAAAAAAUUACGAAAAACUGAGACUUACCGGCGGCGAUGCUCUCAGGUGCGGCAGCUCCUUCGGCGUGAGUCGCGUUUUGAUGUUUGGCUCCAAUCAACCUGUAGAGAAAAGAACGGUGAUCACAGUGGUAUAAAAUUUGCAUCGAACGGAGGCCGGGAAGGGCCUCAUCGGAGGCAAAAAUCGAGGAGGGGCGCGGCGGCGCUGCUGGACUUCAGUUGGGUUUUCUGACCGUUUGGUCGGUGGUUUGGCUCCGAUUUGACCAUAGGCGGACUCAGCAUCAAAAAACAAGCAAGGGGGAGAAAAUUUACCUCGAUCGGCGGUCGGAAACUUCCCCGGUGCGGUGGCGGGUGGCGGCGGCCGGCUCCUCCGGCGUCUGGUUCUUCUUCUCCGACGAGGCACUGGCGGCUAGGGUUUUUGUGGUCAGGUGUGGGUGGGGUUAUUUAUACCCUUUGCCUUUUAAUCUCAACUGUCCAUCAAGAUUAAAUCUGGGCCGUUCGAUCGCGAUUUAAUUGGGAUUAAAUCUGGGCCGUCCAUCGCGAUGCAAUCUGGGCCGUCCGUGCGUGCGGGAACGGAUCU